AUCCCAUAUUCUUGAUUGUAAUUGGGUGACCUUCCCUACAAGGCCAAUAAGCAAGUCCCUCAGGUUCAAAAGAUUUAGCUGAGCUGGGCAUCUUGAGGGUGAAGCCUUCUAGGAUACUAAAUCUGAUGAGCUUUUUGAAACAUACACUUGGUCUGGGAAGCAGCAAAGUGAGACACGCUGGCCACCAUUUUGCCUGAGGCCAGCCCCUCAGCUGGCACACCAGCCCCCUUGGGAUAGUUCUCAGCUUGGAGAAGUCUGUCUUUAAAAGAAAAAGAAAAAAAAAAGGUUUGUGCUUUGCUUGCGGAGUCUACAGCUGCCACAGGUUGUUUCCUUCUCACCAGACUGUUUUCUUUGGUGCCACCUCUCUGGGCUUGAAGGUAUUUCCCCACACCCAGGCUGUUACCAGAUCUGAUUUAGAUUUUUUUCCUUAGGGCUUCUACCCAUCAGCAGCCUUCUUCCUUUGGAUCUCACAAGCUUCCAACAACACCAUCUGUGGUUUGGCUCAAACCCUUCUGCCUGUGCUGCCAUCCUGUUCCUACAACACUGCCUUCAGCUAAGAAAAUUGACAAAGAAAUUGCACGGCGGUUGAAUCAAGAAGAAAAGGCCUGAGAUGUAAAACGGAUUCCUCGGCAUGAAGCAAACUCCGUGGGGCAAGUGGGGAGCAGUUUCCCGCCCCACUUCAGUCUCUAGGGGGGACUUAGCUACUGCUGCUGCCCCUCCCACUCCCUGCCUGGAAUAUACUCUCUCCAUCUCCCAGGCCUGUCUGAAUUAGGCUCAUAUUUCAAGAUCUCCCAUGCAUCCGUUUCCCUAGGAAAGCCUCACCUGCACUGACUUCUCCUCCAAGUCCCAUUUCAGAGGUUACACACGCACGAUUUGGCCCUGUGUUGCUCUCCUUGAUUUCACUUCUGUGGCUUCUGUCUCCCUAACUAGACCACAUACUCUUCAGGGAAAGAACCCCACACCUGUUCUUUUGGUGUCCUCUAAAGCAUCAGUAGUACAAAGUGGUACAAACUGGAGACAUCGGAUAAAAACCACGUCAAUGACUUCAGUUCUGUGGAUUCCUCAAAGCUGCUCACUGUUCUAGAUCUUUCCUAAGAAUUCUAACCCGGCUCUUAAUUAGAAUAGACGGUUUCCAUCUGGGAAGAGUCACCCUGCGGACACUCAAGGUGUGUGUGUCUGUUGGUGUUUUGUCACCUCUGUGAAUCAAAUCUGGGGUCUGAACUAGUGCUGCUGACAGCUGCCUGUGGAGUCACCCAGAGCAGCACUUCCCAACCUUUGCUGUGGCCAGGAAUCACCCAGGGAUCUUGUUACAGUGCAGGCUCAGUAGGAUCUGGGCUGAAGCCUGGGAUUCUGCCUUCCUAACAACCCUCAGAGGAUGCUGAUUCUACUAGUCUGUGACCUCACACUUUGAGUAGAAAGAGACCCAGGAACACGUGCGAUCUUGAGACUGAAGAUGCCAUCUGGCAGGGUUAGUGCUGCCUGCUGCCAUCCUAAUCUGAGGCACGUAAAGUCCAACAAGUCCAAUCUUCUCUCUGGCCAGGAAGAAUCCUGUUCUCUUUGUAGCUUUCUUUAUGGGAUUUUACUAAGCCCUACAUUAAUGUCCCUCUCCUCCUUCAAGUCUUCCCUACCUGUAUCAUUUUAUUCCUUCCUAUUUCUUCAAAACCCACCCCUUAGGACCAGCCCAAGCCCUACUUCUUCCAGCAGUGUCCCUGGCCCCUUAGCAACAUUCUCCAGGGUACUUCCUGCCCACACUACUCAUAGGCCCUUAUUAAAGGCCUCCCUGUCUUGGUGGCUUUUCUAUGCAAACGUUCUACUCCUAUAACUGUGCUGUAAGUACCAGGGGAAGGGCACAGACACAACAUCUUCCACUUUCGUGUAUCCUUCAGUGGAACCUGGGCUAGGGCAGACAAACUGGGUAAAUAUUUGCUGAUUGUGAAAGACAAUCAAAAAUGCCCUUUGCUCUUUUCCUUUCCCUCUCAAGGAGGAAAGAAAAAGUGAUCCCAGCUGCCUUGGCCUCCAUCCCCAGCCCAGCCUUGCUCCUCUCCCAGGCGCUGCAGCUGGGGCGGCUUAGAUUUUAUUUCGCUCUCUGCAGCUCCUCUUCCCUUCAGUGAAGAGUUAAAGCAUCGGGAAGGCUCCUUCCCACUUGGAAAUCUCCAUUUCCUCCUGCAGCGUGAACAAGAGAACUCUAUGGACAGAGGCCGAGUGAGCCAACUGCGCAGGGAGUGAACUCACUCUGAAUGGGGCUGUUCUAACACCCGCCAAGUCAAGUCAUUAAGAUGCCAUCCCCGAGGUGCAGCCCCCAGCGUCACCUCUGGAUAUCCAUAUCCUCAAGCCCGCCGGCAGAAAGGAUGAAUGACGCCACCAACACACAAUGGCCUCUACUCCUCCGGUGUAAACAUUGCCAAAUAAGACAAACAAUAACAUCACCACGACAGAAAAAUAAGGUGCCAAGAGAGACAGCAUGGGUCUGUGGAAAGAGUCUGGGUCUGGGAGCUGUUCAGGGUGUGCCCUCAGGAGGAUGGGAUAGAGAUAAAGUGUGAACUUACAAACCUGGCAGAGAGCAGGCACCUGGGAUGCAGUGGGCUGGUGGAAGAAAGAUGGCCUCAGUACUCCCAUCGAAGUAACAGUAUGUUCCAGGAUGCAGUUGGAAAUUAGGUUGGAAUGGAUGGGAUCUAACAGGAACAGCUCUUGGAAGGAUGGGCUAUCUCAUUAGUACCUUACAACUUCCAAUGCAUUGUCACAUAUUGGAGUUGGGACCAGGGUGAGGCAAAAGAGGCCUUUAAGAGUCAUGCAAGUACACUGGCCUCUGUCCUGCCACAUGCCUUAUCUCACGUAAUACCCAUCUGACCCUUGUCUGGCUAUUUAGUUGGUUUCGGGGUGGAGAGAGCAGGGGAGGUAAGGAGCAGAGAUGGGAGAGAGGACAAGCUGGCAGAGACUCUUUCUCUAUGAAAAGCCUUGCCUGAGUCACUCCUUCCCUCACACUUGCAUGUUACUCCAUCCAAACGAAACCAGCCCCUUUUGUGACUUCACAAAAUCUAUACUCACACUCCCUGUCACUGAACUCCAGGUCCAGAAAACUAUGCCCCCUGUGUUUGGCUUUAGGCCAAUGUCGUGAGAUAUUCCACACAGACAUGUGCUGUAUCUUCUUUUAAAUGUUGUGACUUUUGACCCCACAAAUCUAGAAUUUGUCAUCUUUCAAAAAGAGUUCUGUGAUUUCUUUUUUUUUUUUUUUUUUUUUUUGAGGCAAGAGUCAAACUUUUUUUCCUCCUUGAAUUCCUAAGUGCUUGCUGGUAAGAAGGAUGCAGUUUUAAAGAACCCCAGCUUCUCCAUUCCUCACACCUGUAUACUGAUGACUUGGAGACUAACAUCUUCCAUUGCUAGGCUUAGGAAUGAAGUUUUGCCUCUGAAGGGAGUUGUGCAUUUGUAACUGUCAUUCAACCAAUGGUGAAAGAGUCACUGGUCCAGGGCCAAUGUGCUCUGCUGCCUCCGGGAAAGCAUAAGACAUCAGUCUGUGGAAGAGGGCACUGGUGGUUUCCUUCCCUCCAAGAGGACAUAGUUCAGUUGGGUACAUACUGCAUUUCCCAGAUUUUGAAUACACACGUUUUAAGGCUUCCAAAAUCAGGUAUCUUUUGACAUGGUAAUUCCUUUUCCUCCCCCAAUUUUUAAUUUGGUAAAUAUGUACAAUUUAUAUGCUCUUAACAUUUUUAAAUUUGAAAAUCGAGAGCAAAAUCUUAUAGCCUAAACAACAGGAGUGGUAAGAAUUUGGUGGUGGUGAACAACCAGAAAAUCUGGAGUCCCAGCCAUGUCCACUGCUAGGACCCAGAGAAGCCUAGCCUGGACUGGCCCAGCUGCCGGGCUGAUGAGUGUGACCUCUGAGGUGAUAAAAUAACACCCAUGUGGGAGGAAUGGCCAAUAAGAAGGACAUGCCAGCCCCACCUUAGAAAAAGGCAUGAGUAGAAAUGAAGGUGCUAUAUCACUAAAAAUGAUGACAUUGGGCCCCAAGCAUCCGAUUUUCUCUGGCACCUGGCUAAGACAGGCAUAGAGGACAGGGCCGGUUGGGGUGUAGUCAGAGACACCCUCCCUAUUCUGUGGCAUUGCUUUGGCCUGUAGCAAAGUGUUAAAAUGGGACUCUUCCUACUUCAGUUUCAACUGAGUUCCCAAGACAAUCAAUGCCAGCUACUCCCACUUCCAAAAUGCGGAACACAAGAGCUCCUUGAAAAUGAUUUUGUGUACCUUCUCCAGCCACUGUCCACCUCAAGGAAAGUGCAUGGAUUGAUACAGAAGAGGACUCAAAGUUGGAGUUCUAGGAUUGAGUUGUCAACAUUGUGAUCAGUUUUCCUCCCCAUACCAUGGAGAGAGGACAUGCCUUGCUCCUGUCUCUUAAGUCCAGUGACUAGGGCUUACCUGAGACCACACACAGAGCUUGAUAUCUGUCCCUGGAGCUUGUGGAACACAGGAGACUGCCCACUGGUGAGCAGCUGGCUGAAGAGGCCUAUUGUAGAGGACAUUUCCAUUUGGAAGUCACUCCCUCUUGCCUAUAUCAUGGCAAGGGAGUGUGUGGCAGAUUGAGUUUCCUGGAAGAUGACUCUGAGGGGGAAGAUUAGCAUGAGGAAGGUUUAUUAGAGUGCUCUUGGGAUAGCACCCAGAGGAGGAAAGGAGAAGAAGCAGGAUCAGAGAGAAGUGGACCCCCACUGCCCGGAUCUGAAGCUGGGAUGGCCCUUCAGAGUUGUCCCAAGGCAGAGUCAAGGGGCCUUUCUACCCCUGCCAUAGAUUGGUCAUUGUUCCUGGCUGACCUUGGGGAAAGGCUGUGACCUUGAGCAACAGCAUCUGGGGGAAUGUGUCCUUCAUUCCUAAGGGGAGAUCUGGGCAGGGAUCACAGGGUCCAGUAUGGCAUAUGGCAUGCAGGUACCAGAUGUGGAAACUGCAAGAAGAAUAACCACCUAGGGCCAGGCACAGUGGCUCACAUCUGUA
Molecule: long non-coding RNA, 4971 nt
Filed under: Homo sapiens (human)
Lineage: Eukaryota; Metazoa; Chordata; Mammalia; Primates; Hominidae
Description: HSALNT0302248
Source: RNAcentral